UGGGGAAUAUUGCACAAUGGGCGAAAGCCUGAUGCAGCAACGCCGCGUGAGUGAUGAAGGCCUUCGGGUUGUAAAGCUCUGUCUUUUGGGACGAUAAUGACGGUACCAAAGGAGGAAGCCACGGCUAACUACGUGCCAGCAGCCGCGGUAAUACGUAGGUGGCAAGCGUUGUCCGGAUUUACUGGGCGUAAAGGAUGCGUAGGCGGAUUUUUAAGUGAGAUGUGAAAUACCCGGGCUUAACUUGGGUGCUGCAUUUCAAACUGGGAAUCUAGAGUGCGGGAGAGGAGAAUGGAAUUCCUAGUGUAGCGGUGAAAGUGCGUAGAGAUUAGGAAGAACACCAGUGGCGAAGGCGAUUCUCUGGACCGUAACUGACGCUGAGGCAUGAAAGCGUGGGUAGCAAACAGGAUUAGAUACCCUGGUAGUCCACGCCGUAAACGAUGAGUACUAGGUGUAGGAGGUAUCGACCCCUUCUGUGCCGCAGUUAACACAAUCAAGUACUCCGCCUGGGAAGUACGAUCGCAAGAUUAAAACUCAAAUGAAUUGACGGGGUCAUAGCUGUUUUCC
RNAcentral lists this ribosomal RNA (564 nucleotides) under uncultured bacterium. RNAcentral describes it as "partial 16S ribosomal RNA". It matches the Rfam family "Bacterial small subunit ribosomal RNA", at positions 355 to 938 of the family's 1533-position model. The record is from RNAcentral.